RNAcentral lists this ribosomal RNA (133 nucleotides) under Octodon degus (degu). The record is from RNAcentral. Lineage: Eukaryota; Metazoa; Chordata; Mammalia; Rodentia; Octodontidae.
AUGACCAUGCCACCCUGAACGUGCUCCAUCUCGUCUGAUCUUAGAAGCUAAGCGGGGUUGGGCCUGGUUAGUACUUGCAUGGGGCGGGGGAGAACUUUUAAAAUAUUAAAUUGGAAAACAGACGAAUUGCAUU